RNAcentral lists this ribosomal RNA (268 nucleotides) under uncultured bacterium. RNAcentral describes it as "partial 16S ribosomal RNA". It matches the Rfam family "Bacterial small subunit ribosomal RNA", at positions 84 to 353 of the family's 1533-position model. The record is from RNAcentral.
UUUGAUGGCGACCGGCGCACGGGUGAGUAACACGUAUCCAACCUGCCGAUGACUCGGGGAUAGCCUUUCGAAAGAAAGAUUAAUACCGAUGGCAUAGUUCUUCCGCAUGGUAGAACUAUUAAAGAAUUUCGGUCAUCGAUGGGGAUGCGUUCCAUUAGGUUGUUGGCGGGGUAACGGCCCACCAAGCCUUCGAUGGAUAGGGGUUCUGAGAGGAAGGUCCCCACAUUGGAACUGAGACACGGUCCAAACUCCUACGGGAGGCAGCAUG